ACAUCCAUAUCACGUUGAAACACCGUUUCCCGUACGAUUAUCAAAACUAAGCAACGUCGAGCCUGGUCAGUACCAAGAUGGGUGACCGCUUGGAAAUACCAAGUGCUGG
Non-coding RNA from Acanthosepion pharaonis, 109 nucleotides. NCBI's taxonomy places the organism in Eukaryota, Metazoa, Mollusca, Cephalopoda, Sepiida, Sepiidae. The record is from the annotation of a GenBank genome assembly.